Molecule: long non-coding RNA, 9675 nt
Organism: Cygnus olor (mute swan)
Lineage: Eukaryota; Metazoa; Chordata; Aves; Anseriformes; Anatidae
Exons: 7
Source: RefSeq, a predicted model, not a curated record
CUCCCUGUUCCGUUUCGGCAUGGCUUUGUUACAGCCCACUGACACGAGGUGCAACAGAUGAGCAGCUGGGGAGUUGUUUCUCCCCAGAGAAAGCCCUUUACUGUCGGGCUCAGUUUUUGUUCUAGACUUUCAUGCUCACAUACUUUACUCUAGAAGUGGCAAGAUCCCAAGCUGUAAAGUGUCAAACGAUGUUUUAUCCAGGACCCAAGUUUGAGAUGGAUCCAGCAGCCAUGCGUUUGCCUGGGCUUUUGGGAUGAUCCAGCAGGCUAGAACAGGACGGUAGAGGAAGAUAGCCAGCAGAAGAAAGAAUCUUUGCCACAGUAUUGCAGGUAUUACGUGAGUACCCGUGACUCUUUGUGGACCUGGGGCUUGGCAUUGCCAACAGAGAAACUACAGCACAGUUCAACAGCAAGACCUAUUUCUACGAGUGUGUCUCAGCGACGGUUGUGUUUUCCAUGGGAACUGGGAAAUACCAGCUGGGUGAUUACCUGCUUCAGAGCUGUUGCAGUAGGAAAAUUGCACGGAGCUCUUUGUGAGAUGCAACAUCAAGGCAAGGAGCUACAAUAAGGAGGAAGAUUCUUCACGUGUGUUCAAAGGUGUCACUGUACAGAAGACUGCUUGGCUGAAAAGACCUUCUGGAACAACUGUGCUGCAGGUGCAGACAUCAGUAGAUCUGGAGCCAUCAUCACGAAAUACGUUGGAGUUGAAUUAAAAGAGGAAUAGCACUGGCAAAAAAUUUAGCCUUUUUGCUGGCAAGAAGAUGAAUUUUACUGACCAGUCUUGCAUGUUUGUAUAAACAGUGGGACUACAUACAGGUCUGUAGCAUUCCACAGGCAGUUUUGGCUGUAGGAAGAUAACAGCAAGAGCUGCAGGGGUUUAUAGAAAGAGCCUCAGCUCAUCCUUUCUUCAGUCUCUGAGUAGCCACCUGCUUUUUAAGGAUUCUUGUAAAGAACAGUUAUGGAGGUUCUUGUCUAAAGAGAAAGCUUUCAGCCGUGGGUGUCUUGACACAGAUCACGUUCUUGCACAUCUCUUUUCCUGUUCUUAUAACUGUAGAUGUUCUCUCUGAGGUAAGUUGUCAGUGUCAGUUGUCAUUGCUCCGGAGGCUUCAGCAGAGCUAUGCCAAUUAAUCUGCCUGAGAGCCUGCUCUGCUCUCCCUGCUACAGUCUGUUUCUGAAGCCCACUCAGCUUUCUAGCUCUUGUUCAGUUUUCAGCCCACGGAAGUACAGGGCUCUCGUCUCCUGAAUCACCAGGAUUCAAACAACUUCACUGAGUAUCGGAAUUGUCUUAAGUAGGAAUUUGCUCUCCAGCCUGGAUAGAGUUCAUUACCACCAAUGAGGGAUCCAGAGCGUCGAAGGGAGGCACCAUCCUUUCCCCAUUGGCUACAGAGGGAUCCUGAGUGGCAUCAGAGGGUAGGUAAUUUUGGUAUUCUUGUUUUAGUGUUGUUAUCCAGCUUGAGAUGGGCUGUGUAGCCCAUCAGCAGUGUGCCUGCAAGUGGUCUCUGUCUGGACCUUGUGUGCCUGACACUGGGCUGCCUGACACCAGGAAUCCUCAUCAGCACAAGAGCCAGAGGUAACUGAUUUUAAAGUACUUCCAAAACUAGGGGUAAGUAGAAUUCUGAAUCCUCUGUGAGACUUAACUACCACUAUUGCAUCAAGUGCAAACCGGGCUAAGUCUUUAGAUGGCAUCGCAUCCUAAAAUAAUUAGGAGUUUUUAAGCUUCUUGAGACCCUGAUAAAGCAGAUCUCACCCCAUCUUUUACAGACUGUUUUUGAUAGCUUCAAAUGCUUUCUGAGGUGGCUUAUUUUUCCUUAGGGGAAAAAAAUGUGUGAAGUUCCCAUACCAUCUCAUACAAGUGAAGAGUCUGCAACUUCUUUCUUAUUCAUUUUCAUCCAGUUUAUCUGUUUGAGUUACAACUUGAUUCAUUUUCUCAGGAUUAGGGCUUAUUUAAGGUUCUCUUCUUGGCCUUGUCCUCUUUCCACUAAAACCAGCAGAUUUUCGGGGGAACAGCAAUGAGGCCACUGAAUUUAUAACUCUUUUCAGAAGCCUUAUAUAUUCAGUGAGGGUGUUUUCCAUUACUUUCAUUGCCAAUAUGAUUUGCUCAAUCUUUCAUAUCUCUUUCUUUCCAGGAAGCUAUAGCUAUGAAGUAUGCAUCUUCCCAGUAUAAGAUGUGAUACAAAUAAAUCAGUUGGCUUCUCUGAGAUGUCUUUGUUUGGCUUAGAUGCUCUCUGUGUUUUUGGUUGCCUAUGGAUUGAAUCCCUCCUUGAGCUCUGGGAUUGCCCUGACCCAGGUGCAGCACAUUGCACUUGAACUUACAAACCUCAUUAGGUUCAUUUGGGCCCACUUCUCAAGCUUGUCCAGGUCCCUUUGGACCAGGCUCACCCAUCUGUAGUUCUCUGGGUCCUCCUUUCUACCCUUUUUAAAAAUGGGAGUGAUGUUUUCCUUUUUCCAGAUGGGAAGAGGUUUGGCAGCUCCAUCAGCCAGCACCCUCAGGACCCUGGGAUGUGUGCUCCAUAGACUUGUACUUGUUUGGUUUCAUCAAUUGGUUGUGAACCUGCUCUUUGCUACAGUGGGAGGGACUUUGUUAUUUUUUUGGCAUCCCUUGCCAAGCUCAGUUCCAUCCGUGCCUUGGCUUUCCUGAUCCCAGGAAAGGAAAUGUGAAACUAAUGAGAGAAAAUGAGUGCUCUUUUAUAUUACUAUAAAUGACUUGAUCACGGGUGAUCAGUAAUAAAUUGUGCUAUUUGUUGGACACGUUCUGUGUUUGGGGGCAUUGCAACGAAGACUUUGGCAAUGAUGGGCACAACCACAUUUGUAUAAUUUAGGAGAGAUUUCUCUCAGGUGAUAUAACUGGACUCUCUAACUGUCUUCGAGGUAACCUAGUACGUACUCCUUACUUUGUUAAUUCCUUUCCUGUGGGAUAGCAUAAAUCUACUUCAUAAGGUGAAAGGACGGAGAGUGAUGACCUGGAGCAGAGGCAGCAAAAAUUGAAGCUAAACAUCAGUAACGUUAUUCAAGAGCUCUAAAAGUUAGCACCAUGAACAGAUAAAAUGGUAGAGAGCCUGUAACAUUCUUAAGGGAAUCAAAACGAUCAGCGAUUAAGGAUAACACACUAACCAGUGUUACUUAGAACAAAUUUAAUGUAUUGGAGAGAACAUUAGUGUUUUAGAGAGCCAAAGCACUCUGUAGUUGCUGGGGUGAAAGAGUUUAAUCUUCAUUAGCAGUGUUGGUAGGAUUGUAUUAAGCUGACAAACAGAGGGGUUAGUUUUGCCUAGACAACAUUUUUAUCACUGCAGCAAAGGUUGCCAGGAUUAGCAUUAUUUUGAUUGCCAUUAGAUGGCUAGAGAACAUGCUGGGAGGGAGCCAAACUCCCAAAAGCGUAAGGGAGCCCUGGUCUUCUUUUGUUUUUUGGAAACAAAACCAGGUACAGAACAGAUUUUAUUUUCUAAAGUAAAUAAACUUCAGAGUGAAUUUAGUUAAUUGCCAUCCAAGCAAAUAACCGAUCAGAUUAAAGUUAUUUCUGGGUCACUGGCAAGGUCUGUGCAAGGAAUUUAAAAGAAAUGCUAAUACUUUGUGGUCAAGACCUCAAAAAUUAGGAGAGUGGAAUUACCAUUUCUCAGAAACGUUGAUUUGUUGAAUAUGUGUAAUAGAGUACACCGCUGCCAGCUUAAGCCAACAGUAGAUUUUGGUCUCUUUCAGUCCUGGUUGGUCACAGCUAGGAUCAGGAAUAACUGGCAUAGAUUAGGCUAAGCACCCUUAGCCUAAAAGUAGAAAUGGCCAAAACUUUUCCUUUUGUACAGGUUUUCCAGGCUGGCUUUCUUGCUGAAGCUGAGCAGAAGUGUCUAUGUAACAUUUUUUAAGGAUGUAUCUGUGCAUACCCCAUUUGUCCAUCUCUCUGUCUCUGGGGUUGAAGGGUGAAAUGCUGCUGUCUGUGUUCCUUGCUGCUUUUAAUCACUUCAGUUUCCAGGUUCAGAUGUGCAACUCAACCUUGUGGGUUCCCCCUAAUUCUGGGGAGCGCUCAUGUUUUUACAAGGUUUCAGAAACCACUAUCUGCCUCAUACUCUGAAAAGCUUCUUUUGCGCUAAGCUUAUUUUCCAAAGACCUAAGUGUUGUAGUAUCACUGCUUUAAGCUGUGUGUCCUUACACGUAUCACUGAUGGCAGGAAUUAAGCCGCCUUGUUACAGCUGGUCUGUCUUUGUAGUGAGUGAAUGGCUAAGGGAUGCCGAAGGGGUUGAGAGGAUUGUUUCUGUGGCUAUGGAGUCCUAUGGAAAUGCCAACCAUCUGCAGCUUAUUUAGUGCUCUCGCUCAGCAGAACUGCAGACACAUAGCUCUCUAAUACCUUAUUUAGGUGUCUAUUUACUGAGCAGAAUCCUAGGAUGCAUAGCUAAAGAGGGACCUGGUCUGUCAUGAUGUUACUUUGCACCGGGGAAAUCCUGUAUCUUACAGCACACCCGACUGAAAAAUGACCCAAUAAAUCGAAUCGGAGGAAGGGAUUUUAGUUUGUUCUUCACUAAAGUGCAAGGUUAAAAUUGGUCCAGCCAAAUCUAGCUCUUCUCUACUGCAGCUAAGAUAAUGUGCCAUGAAAUAACCUUAAGCCAGAAGUUUUGUGCUGAAGGUUGUGUGUAACACACCCGUCGUGUGUAACUGCUUUUCUGCAGGACACGGUUCGACUCCUUGGUUAAAGGUCAGAGUGGAAGUGGGCCAGGCUUGAGUCUGUUUUGGUUGACAUAGGUUGAAAGGGAGUGAAAAGAUUAAAAUUCUCCCUUAUUAAUGUGGAAAUCGUGAAAUGAACAAGGCAAUGCUGGACCAGUACCUGAGAAGCCAAGAAGUGAGGCAGACUAUAAAUACAAAGGGAAACUAAAUCGAUAUAUUAGCAUAUGAUCAAAACAAACAAAGUGGUUUACCAAAUUAUUGCCUGCUAGCUGAGAUGCAGUAAGUCUGCAUGCACCCCAGCAGUGAGAUGAAAUCCAUUUUGCACAUGAAAUUGGCUGAGAAUGAAUAUGCACUUAGUUCCACGAGGUAGCAGACAGGUGGCAAUUUGCAGUAAUAUAUUCAUUUUCAACGGCGUGCCUGUACUUUAAGAUGAUGAAUGACUAUAAAAUGCAAAUUAACCACUGUUAACUAGGAAGAAGAGUCAGGAUACUGAUUUUUUUUUCUUCCUUAGGUUUUAUGUGGGUCAGGCUAAGCUGAUACAGACUCAUGUUUUACUGUUUAGCAGCAAAGACAGUGAAAAAAGAAGCAGAAGUACUCCUCAACACAUUUCAGUGCCAUGGAAACAGCAAAACUGCAGUAGUUCCUUUUGGCCAGGCCUCCGAGUCCCGCUGGCAAUUGUAAACCUUUGGAGUUCACCCCUGUUGAUAGCGGAGUUUUAGAAGAAGGCAGAAAGCUGGUAAGCUCCGCUGUGUGAAUAAGACGAAGCUGUUGUAGGGGGAAAGGUCCAGCUGGCAUGGGGGGGCUCUUUGCGAACCCCCCUGCUUGUGCUGGCAGCGUGCUGCUUCUGUGCGGGGUGAAACUCUUUGCUUUGUCUGAAGGUAAGAAAUGACUCAAAAGGAGAGCGGUGAGAAAUGUGUUACUGUGAUCUUUUCCAAACCUGGAGACUCGAAUGCAGUUUUGAUUAGAAGAUGGUGAGCUAAUUUCUCAGGCAGCUUGGCAAGAUAAAUUUGGUUCCAGUCCUGCCUCCUAAUACCCUCCUGUAGCUGCUGGCCCAGAGCAGCUCCUCAGUCAUACAUCUAGCUGAAAAUCACCCAGCACCUCUCAGUCUCCAUCAGAAGCUGAAAACUUGUUUGGAUGUAGAUGAAAAUAGUGUUUCGUCUGCGGGCUCCAGUCUGGCAUGCCUGUGACUGGAAUCCAGAAGAAGGUUUCUCCGAGCCACGGAUGUUCGCCUGGCUGUUCGUGGGGACAAACAGCUGCCCACUCAUUUACCUGACCAUGAAAUACAUUUCCCAUGUGAAAAGCGUCAAAUGGUUUUCUUAGGGUGACAGUAAAUUUUAAAAGGAUUGUCAGGCUGGGACAGGCGAACUUGAAAUGGUGCUGGAGCAGUAUUCAGCUUAGUUUUUCCUUUAAAAAUUUAAAAAUAAAAUUUAAAGACUGAACCAACUUUGCAGUUUGGGAUACUGCAACUCCGUUAAUGAACAGGGCAGAUUCACCAACAGCUUCAGGAAAUCAGACUUUCUCCCAUGAUCUCUUCUCAGUGCUCAUGAGCCCAGAGAAAUCUAACGGUGUGAAGGAAUCAGAAAGUGACUUUUAAGCUGUUCGACUGGCUCAGUCCUUGACAUCCCCAAAGAUAAUACCAAGAGCCAGCUGCAGGCUUGUCUCACACUGACAUGUGAGCACUGCUGCAAGAAAUACCUGCUCGUUUCCUAUUGCCCAAGGAAACAUUUGGUUCUCCUGAAGCGCUGUGAGAGCUGACAGGCAAGGCUUUGAUUUUAGUUUUUAUUUUUAAACAUAACUUCCAGUACCCUCAGCCCUAGCUGUCCUUCCAUUACAAUACAAAUCAGCCUUCCUCUCACUUCAGUCUGGAGCGCAGAGAUCGUGUUUAUUCUUUUCUCCUUUUGGCAGCACAGUGCAGAUCUAAAGCAGCUCUCCCCCUAACAAACCUCGAGUCAAGCACGGAGUAAGAUUCGUGCAGUGCUCAAAUUGAGGAGAGGGGUAGCAGGGACCGGGCAGCAGACUUCUGGCAGUGAGGUGGCACUGGGGCAGCAUGAGCACAGCCCAGCUGCGAGGUAGGGAAGCCAACGCUGCUGAUGUAACUGUGGCCCUAACGUGGGGAGGAGGAUGGGGAGAAAAGAGGGGUGGCAGAGGGCUGGUCAGUGCUCUGUGUGUGCCCCCACUUCAAUGAGAAGGGAAUGUUGCUUUAGCUACACCUUUUCUUCCAGGCUUUACUGGUUUUGAAGCACUGGCAGAUGAUGACGGUGGAACGAAAAUGGCACCUUUCUUAGUCACAAGGCAGUUUGGAGAUGUUGUGUCUUCCUCUCUGUCUGCUCAGGAAUGAGAUCACGAGCUAGGCAGGCAGCUGGACUUAGCAAUGGCAAGCCUUUGACUCUCUCCUUUGCUCAUAGUCAGUGGAGAUGUAACACUGCUCAACGGCCCGUGAUGGACUGCCCACUCGGGUGUACCUCUGCUAGGGCAGAGGUCUCGUCAGCAGGUUCCAGCAGAGCCGCUGUUCGAAAAGCUGUUAGUAGGUGCAAGUAGCUGCCACUUUCCAUCUUGGAAGCUCUUAUUUCCUGCAACAUUGCCUGGGUCAUAUAUAGGGUGUGUUGUUCUAAGCCCAGGGUCACACUGCAGUGUAAUUAGAUUUCUAUCUCUGUCUUAAUCAAAUAACAAGUCAAGCAUGGGCAGAUAAGGAGACAUCACAUCGCUGGGCUGACGGCUUUGGAAAGGAGAUGCAGGUGAUGUGUUUUACCCGGACAGCCUUCUUUCUCCUUGAACAGAUGUAGCUCUUUGCUUCGCAUCCAGACAGACUCACGGUGCAUUGGCUGCUACAGGGUCUGGCUGGUGCAAGAAGAUUUGGGGCCAGGCUGGAAAGCAGUCCAGACUGUGCUCAGACCCUGACCAGUUUGGGUUUGAGGGGAUUUAACUUUACUCAGAGGCAGGGUUCUGACCCAGCUUUAAUAACAAUGCACACGUGGCUGUGGUUUAACUGCCGGCAGCACGAGUUAUGACAGUACUGAUGAAAGGCCAAUGCCAUAUGCUAAAACACAUAACAAACAGAGCUGCUGACAUUGAAAAACCUUAUUUUUCCUUAGACCAGACUUUCCUCCAAGUGCUGAAAUAUCGAUGGGAAUUUCAGCACACAAAGAGACGAUUAACUUUUGGCUUUAGCCAACUUAGCUAAGGAUUUGAGGGCUGUGGCAGCUCCAUCAGGAGUCCUUUGCCAUCGGCUCACUCCUCGUCACAUGCAAAUACCUUAAACUCGUUUCUCUCUCUGGUCUCAGCUGCAGGAUUUUGGCACGGGGAAAGGGCACCUGCUGCUGCUGAAGAACUUGGUGUGUAACAGAUGAAACCCAAACGUGCUGAAUCCCACCUGGAGCCUUGCUGGCAGCAAACGCAGGGCCCAGAGCGGAAACGUGAUGUUUUCUCAGAGAGACGCUUGACUUGGUAAGCGGGAUCUUGUGCUCUUUUUGUGCGGGAUCUUGUGCUGCCUUUUGCUCCCCACUAGUUUCAAGGUACGGUCCUAUGAAGAUCCCAUUGUAGAAAUCUAAUCCUGAAGUGAUGAAAAUGGGUGGUCACAGCAGGAUUCCUGCAUAGGCAGGGGUCCCAGUGCACGUGUGCAGGAUUUUCAGGUGUCAGCAUUAUAUUGCAUUGCAGAUGAGUUUUGCUACGUGGCCUCCAUCCUGCUGUCCCACCCAAGCGGCCUUUCUUGAACAAAAGCCUGGGCUGGUGCCCUGCACACAGGGUGGUGUGUAUAUUCAGUAAUUACCGUCAAUUUUUAAGUAAAAAUGUGCCUGCUUUUCCCAACUUUCAGAUGGCUCAUUGCAUUUGUGCUUCUUGUUUUCUCAUAACGAGCUGUCUCCAAAAGCUCUAGUUCAAAUUCCUUUCCAGAUCUCUAACAACCUGAGCUUAGCGAGAGAAGCAAACUGCCAGAGGAUGCAAUUAGCUUAAAUUUAACCUGAAACCGAAAUCUUACCCAGUGACACGGAUGAAUCCCUGGUGGUUCAUGCCUGGGGAGCAGAGAUCAAGGUGCUUGUUAGCUUGGGUGCUGUCGGGCUUUAUAUCCCCUGUCAGAGGGCAGCUGUCCCCCGUCGGGCCGGACGGAAAGACGCACGUCCUGAGCGACUGGGGCUUUCCUUGGAGUCUGCUUCGCCACGUGUUUGUGCGGAGGCAGCGAUUACAUAAAGGAGUGGGAGAUGGGGUAGCGUUAUUUCUGUUGCAGGCUCAGCCUGUAUGUGUGAUGUGCGGGACGCGAGCGUGGUGCGUGAGCCACCGCGCACGGGGAGCUCGGCGCGCGGCCCCACGCCAGGGUGCAGAAGAAGAAAUGAAACAGUGCCAGGGGAGCUAACGCUGAGCUUCCUGAAAAUUGGGGUUUUACUUCCCACCUUUACGAUGAGCUGGGGAUUUGCAAACUGCACCUGGAAGCGUGCAGAUUGCAGCCCUCACCCGAUCAUGCGUGCUGCCACCGUGGAGUACUCGUCCUGUGUGUCUCUUCCCUGCCUGUUUUAAUAACAGCACCCUAACUGCUUGUUUACAACCAAUAAUCUGCACAGGAAUGGCACUGCUUUGGUUCAUAAUGCUUGGCAAACAGCACGGCCUGGGCAUAAGCAUCGUGGUCUGAUCUCCACGCAACAGCUUCUCCUCUGCCUCACGCUGCUGCUGUCUCUGAAGUGGGAUUCUUUGCUGCACCAAACUGCCAGGAGGUGAUGAGGGAUAAAGGACAUUAAUAAGAGCCCAAGCAGGCUGUGAAGACAGCAUGCUGCUUGGGAAGAGGGUGCUGCGGUACCUUCAGUAAUAAAUCAGGAUCAUUAUCACACCGGGGGAGAGAAAGAGAACCCAGAGCACCAGCAUCUGGCGUGAGUUAUGUCUUGGAGCCGGCUGGAGCUCUCCGUCUUCCUGAAGCACUUGCUCCAGCUACGCCGUGCAGCCUGCCAGCAGCCAUUCAUCCCAGGCGCUCUGGCCGGAGAGCUGACACUGGGCCGAGGCAAAUAUUUAUUGUCUGACUUUUUUCUUUCCUUUUUUUUCUUCUUUU